Paramuricea clavata is the source of this 133-nucleotide non-coding RNA. NCBI's taxonomy places the organism in Eukaryota, Metazoa, Cnidaria, Anthozoa, Malacalcyonacea, Plexauridae. The record is from the annotation of a GenBank genome assembly.
UCCAAGUCUCUCUUUGUGGACAUCUAUAUAUUGUACAUCUAUAUUGUACGUUACAUGACGUACCGCUGAGGGGGAGAAUGUAACGUACAAUAUAGAUGUACAAUAUAUAGAUGUCCACAAAGAGAGACUUGGA